This 1522-nucleotide long non-coding RNA is filed under the name Ursus americanus (American black bear). RNAcentral's name for it is "lncRNA (ENSUAMG00000025212.1)". The record is from RNAcentral. Lineage: Eukaryota; Metazoa; Chordata; Mammalia; Carnivora; Ursidae.
AGUGCCCAGCACCUUCCACUGGAACAAUGCCUGAGAGAGCCUCGGAGAUGGGACCCCCAGCAGGUCAGGAGGUAAAGAGGCCCAGGGCAGUGGUUGGGGGGCCAGCAGGUCUCCGCAGCCCAUGGGGAGGUCUCUUAGGGAGGGAACAGGCCAUCCCACUGGGCUGUCGGAGGGAGGGUCUACCCAAAGACAGAGGCACUCCUAACCCUUUCAGUCAGGGAGGGGCUUGCAGAUGACUCGGGGCCCUUCCAAGUGCUGCUGACACCAUCAAACAGGAACUGGGAUUAAAAAUAAACUCCUGGCAGGCAGUGGAGACCCACCCCACCCCCCGCCCAGCUGCCCUCUAUAUUUGAUGCGUCCCUCCUGCCUGAAGGUUAGCAGGGAUUUGGGAGACACUGGGAUUGGCUGAAGCUGGCAUGGGCCAAACCACUGCAGGAGGCCCAGGUCCCUGGGGACGUCCACCCCAACUUGCCCAGAGGGGUCACCAGCACCCAGGACCCUAGGCUGCCUGCAGACCAGCCCCCCACCAGGUCUGAGCUACACCCCUCCAUUCCUGGCUCACCCACUGCUGUCAGCCCAGUGGGAACCGAGUCACCCUGGGGCUAGCCUGUGCCAGGAGGCCGCGCUGCCCAGGGCGGUGGCCAGCUGCCCAGGGCGGUGGCCACUCCUGCUGGAAUGCAGCGUCCUCCCUCAAGGUCCAGUGUGCUGAGCCUGGGCCCCUGCAGUGGUUUCUCAGGUGGUUUCUCAGGUGGUUUCUCCAAAGUGCUUCUGUGUCCCCAGGAUGUGCCCCAACCACCCACAGCUAGGCUGCCUGCAGGGCCCUGGGAGCCCGGCCCUCAGCUGCCGGGAGACACUCGAGCUCACUUGGACAGUGAGAGGAGCAAAGCACUUCGUAACUACGGAUCAGCGAGGAGCGCUGAAGACCGAACACCACAGAAUCCUGGGUGCCAGGCCUUGUGAGUUCACCAAGUGCUGGGCGGGGCUGCCCAGCCCAGCACCCAUUGACCAAGAGGCCACUGGGCACAGACAGGCAAACCAGGCGCCCAAGGUCACAGCCAAGGAGGGCAGAGCUCGCCAUGCGCUUGGAAGGCCUGAGCCAGGCCAGCGUUACUUCUGGACAGAAGCCAACUGGGUCCCACCUGUGCUCCUCCCCUCCCCCUCCCCCUUGCCCUCCUUCUCCCAAAUCUGAGCCACUUGUCACCAUGGCCCCCAUAGCAACCAAGGGUACUGGGGGCGGUGGGGGCGGGGGGGGUGAGCAAAGAAGGGGCCCAGCAGCCUGGUGCAGCCUCACAGCUCACCUUCUGAAGAGCAAGGCAGGAGGAAGGGGUACAGGCCUGCCCCCUUAGUCCCCUCCCGUCGCCCCCAGGGGCCCCCGCCAUGAGCUGUUUGGGGAGACACAGGCAGCUCCCUCUUUGGCUGGCUGAGGUUUCACGAGCCUGGGGAAAGAAGAUCCAGCUAAAAUUAACUGUUAUCAAGCUGUCAGCCUGGAAAUAAACCCUGCUCCUAUUGGCUGCCGGUGAUG